Molecule: non-coding RNA, 235 nt
Organism: Pelobates cultripes (western spadefoot toad)
Lineage: Eukaryota; Metazoa; Chordata; Amphibia; Anura; Pelobatidae
Source: the annotation of a GenBank genome assembly
GUCACAAAGUAAUCAACAGUAACUAAAUCUAGGUAUCAGCACCUAAUGAUUUGUUUGGAGUUACACUUGGUAAGUUUCACAUUCUCAGAAAUUUAUUUUUUCUUCCUCCUACACUGUCAGAAUAGAGAUGAUUUAUGGCAAUAAGAACAGGUGUAUUCGUAUCAAGCGAAUUAAUAAAAUUGAGCUGGAGUAACCCUUUAGGUUCUAGCAAUGAGAUGUCAGCCUCAAAGUUUUC